This 222-nucleotide ribosomal RNA is filed under the name Triticum aestivum (bread wheat). RNAcentral describes it as "partial small subunit ribosomal RNA". The record is from RNAcentral. Lineage: Eukaryota; Viridiplantae; Streptophyta; Magnoliopsida; Poales; Poaceae.
AUGAAAAUCAUAAGUUGGAACUGCCGGGGACUCGGGAAUGGCCCGGCAGUUCGUUCUCUUCUUGAGCUAGGAAGAGUGGAGGUUCCCGAUGUUUUGUUCCUGUGUGAAACACGAUUGACAGAAAAGAAGUUGGGGCGGUUCAGGUGGUCGUUGGGGCUCGCCAACAUGGUAGCUUGGAAGGAUGAAAGUAGUGGGAGGGGUGUAGCUUUGUUUUGGAGAAGG